RNAcentral lists this long non-coding RNA (221 nucleotides) under Elaeis guineensis (African oil palm). RNAcentral's name for it is "long non-coding RNA (EGUI_LNC044442)". Lineage: Eukaryota; Viridiplantae; Streptophyta; Magnoliopsida; Arecales; Arecaceae. The record is from RNAcentral.
UUUGGUAUGAUAUCUAGAGAGAGAGUCUCAGAGAACCAGGACUCUCUGAAUCAAAGUUCUUCUUCAAGUUGGGCCUUAAUCAGGUUCAAAUCGAGUCUGAAAUGAGCCAAAUUUGAAAAGACUAUCAAGCCUGAUUCAAUCAGACUUGAAAUCCAAAUCUGAUUUGGAUAAUUGAACCUAAUUAAUAUUAAAUUAAAUUAAAUUUAAUUAAAUUAAAUAUA